GUACCAUGCAGUCGAGCGCACUCUUCGGAGUGAGCGGCGGACGGGUUAGUAACGCGUGGGAACGUGCCCUUCUCUAAGGAAUAGCCACUGGAAACGGUGAGUAAUACCUUAUACGCCCUUCGGGGGAAAGAUUUAUCGGAGAAGGAUCGGCCCGCGUUAGAUUAGAUAGUUGGUGGGGUAAUGGCCUACCAAGUCUACGAUCUAUAGCUGGUUUUAGAGGAUGAUCAGCAACACUGGGACUGAGACACGGCCCAGACUCCUACGGGAGGCAGCAGUGGGGAAUCUUGGACAAUGGGCGCAAGCCUGAUCCAGCCAUGCCGCGUGAGUGAUGAAGGCCUUAGGGUCGUAAAGCUCUUUCGCCAGAGAUGAUAAUGACAGUAUCUGGUAAAGAAACCCCGGCUAACUCCGUGCCAGCAGCCGCGGUAAUACGGAGGGGGUUAGCGUUGUUCGGAAUUACUGGGCGUAAAGCGCACGUAGGCGGAUCAGAAAGUAUAGGGUGAAAUCCCAGGGCUCAACCCUGGAACUGCCUUGUAAACUCCUGGUCUUGAGUUCGAGAGAGGUGAGUGGAAUUCCGAGUGUAGAGGUGAAAUUCGUAGAUAUUCGGAGGAACACCAGUGGCGAAGGCGGCUCACUGGCUCGAUACUGACGCUGAGGUGCGAAAGUGUGGGGAGCAAACAGGAUUAGAUACCCUGGUAGUCCACACCG
RNAcentral lists this ribosomal RNA (705 nucleotides) under Phaeobacter sp. Its description in RNAcentral is "bacterial SSU rRNA". It matches the Rfam family "Bacterial small subunit ribosomal RNA", at positions 51 to 802 of the family's 1533-position model. Lineage: Bacteria; Pseudomonadati; Pseudomonadota; Alphaproteobacteria; Rhodobacterales; Roseobacteraceae. The record is from RNAcentral.